GCUGGUUUGGCUCAGUGGAUAGAGCAUCGGCCUGUGGACCCAAGGGUCCCUGGUUCGAUUCCAGUCAAGAGCA
Non-coding RNA from Myotis lucifugus (little brown bat), 73 nucleotides. Lineage: Eukaryota; Metazoa; Chordata; Mammalia; Chiroptera; Vespertilionidae. The record is from Rfam.